Molecule: non-coding RNA, 661 nt
Organism: Thamnophis sirtalis
Lineage: Eukaryota; Metazoa; Chordata; Lepidosauria; Squamata; Natricidae
Source: RefSeq, a predicted model, not a curated record
UACAUCCAGAAGCUGAAGAAAUCUUACCUAGACACUUGGUCAAAGCGCCAUCUAAGCAGCAUCAAUACGGAGCUCCAGGAUGUUCAGAAGAUCAUGGUGACCAACAUUGAAGAAGUCCUCCAAAGAGGGGAGACCUUAUCAGUUCUGGACUCCAAAGCCAGCAACCUGUCCACCCUCUCCAAGAAAUACCGCCAUGAUGCCAAGCUCCUCAACAGCCGCUCCGCUUACGCCAAAGCUGCCGCCACCGGCCUCAUCUUCAUGGUCCUCCUGCUCUACGUCCGCUUCUGGUGGCUAGUGUGACCCAGUCUCCCCCUCUUGUUUCCAAGGCCCCGUGUGACUUGGGCUUUUCCUUUGAGGAGAAACAUGGAAAUACCCCCAAAGUUCACCACUCGGGACGAUGUUCUUGUUUUUGGCAUCACCUCCAUUCACGUGGUUGGCCGUUGAAUGGCAGUGCAAGAUGCCAAGUGGACCUAUGACUAUUUAUAAUGGGGGGGGGGGAGGCUGUCCGGCCUGCCUUUCGAAAACAAGGAGAAAUUUGUGGCUUUCCAUAGAUCAGCUUUUCUUUCAAAGCCCUACAGUGUUGUCAACGGCUAGCAGGUUGAUAGUGUCAUAGGCCCCUGCCGCAAUAAAUCUGUAGUUUUGUAUGUUUUUUUAAAUCAUA